This 468-nucleotide ribosomal RNA is filed under the name uncultured bacterium. RNAcentral's name for it is "partial 16S ribosomal RNA". It matches the Rfam family "Bacterial small subunit ribosomal RNA", at positions 28 to 507 of the family's 1533-position model. The record is from RNAcentral.
GACGAACGCUGGCGGCGUGCUUAACACAUGCAAGUCGAACGGAAAGGCCCUGCUUUUGUGGGGUGCUCGAGUGGCGAACGGGUGAGUAACACGUGAGUAACCUGCCCUUGACUUUGGGAUAACUUCAGGAAACUGGGGCUAAUACCGGAUAGGAGCUCCUGCUGCAUGGUGGGGGUUGGAAAGUUUCGGCGGUUGGGGAUGGACUCGCGGCUUAUCAGCUUGUUGGUGGGGUAGUGGCUUACCAAGGCUUUGACGGGUAGCCGGCCUGAGAGGGUGACCGGCCAAAUUGGGACUGAACUACGGCCCAGACUCCUACGGGAGGCAGCAGUGGGGAAUAUUGCACUAUGGGCGGAAGCCUGAUGCAGCAACGCCGCGUGCGGGAUGACGGCCUUCGGGUUGUAAACCGCUUUCGCCUGUGACGAAGCGUGAGUGACGGUAAUGGGUAAAGAAGCACCGGCUAACUACGUG